RNAcentral lists this long non-coding RNA (484 nucleotides) under Malus domestica (apple). RNAcentral describes it as "long non-coding RNA (MDOM_LNC021168)". Lineage: Eukaryota; Viridiplantae; Streptophyta; Magnoliopsida; Rosales; Rosaceae. The record is from RNAcentral.
GAGGAUGUACCAACCCACUAGGACAUUCGCGGACAUUGGCAGCAGGUAUGUUGUCCCUAAUUUCAUGGCUCCUUCGUGACUCUUUUUUAGUUUUUUUACACAUAUUCUUCGACUUAACUUUGAAUUUAACACUAUUAAGUUUUUAUAUAAUUAAAUAAUACAAUAAAACUGAAAAUUUAACAAACAAACAAAAAACAACAGCAACCUCCGGAACAACCCUAGCCCCGCAGCAACCAAAACCAAUUUUUCCCACCAUUCAAGUCGGCUGCAAUUGCUCACCGCCGGCGAAGCUCAUUUUUUUAUCGUUUUAUCUCUAUCUUCUUCUCUACAGAUAUCCUCCGACGAAGCAUUGAUUAGAUAUCCUCUUUUGCAUCUCAAAUACCAAAUUUGGAUAAAAUAUAUGUUCCUUGACGUGUUGAAUUGAUCACGAUCUAGUGCGGAACUUGGAGAGAGAGAGCGAAAGGAAGCUUUGCCGGAAGUAAGG